Long non-coding RNA from Brienomyrus brachyistius, 974 nucleotides. RefSeq lists it as uncharacterized. NCBI's taxonomy places the organism in Eukaryota, Metazoa, Chordata, Actinopteri, Osteoglossiformes, Mormyridae. The transcript has 3 exons. The record is from RefSeq and is a predicted model, not a curated record.
CACUGAGGAUGGUGGAUCCAGCUCCACCAGUAAACAUCCUUACUGGUGUAACGGAAGAUCAAACUGGAAGGAUUUAGAACUGUUGCCCUACACGUUAAAGAGAAGAAAAGGAACAAGUUCAAUUUGUUUAAAAGGCCAGUUCGUCUGACUGCUUGUGCUCAACUUUUGGAACAUGAAAUGUUAUUUAAGAAUUUCACCACAUAUAAAUAACACAAACCGACAGACAGUUUCAUUUAUAAAAUGGGACCGAUUUUGAUACGGGAAAACUGCAUCGUGCAGCAGCAGAGGGCGGCAAAGCUGCAGCAUUCAGGCUGCAUGUGUACCUGGGCGCAGAGCUGGAUGAGAGGACAACUUAACCAUAACGAGGUGUGGGGAGAGGGCACCUGAAUGUUUUCUCUGCUGCCCUGAUGAGCCAAUGGAGAGCUUUCGCGUCUGAGGACAUCUCUGCUGCACCUUCUUCAGCAGCUCCUUGGUGUUCACACUCCAGGGCCCGGAGCAUUCUGGGAGAUUCGGGAAUUAAUCACACCUGACAUGGGCGUGUCUUGAUGUUCUCUUUUCCGGUUUCCCAGGAAACCUAAAGCACUGCAGGUACCAAGGUAUGUGGAACGAGAAAGUGUGUAUCUUAUGCUAAGAUCUGGCCCAGAUCUGAGCUCCUUUGGGGCUCAUCACAGUGCCCUGGGCCCCUACAUGAUGGAGGCUCAUAACCAGUUCCCUAUUGCAGGCAUUUUAGGAAGCGAUUGCAUUACUUACGGAUGUUUCCAGCUAUUUACAAAAUGGAGACAAAGUUCCUGGAUCUGAACUGGAAUCACAAUGCAUGACAGCACCGCAGAAUCUGAGACCUUGUCUCCAUUGAGACUCUGUCUGUAACAGCAACAGCAGAGGAUUAUUGUCACGCAUUUCUAAUUUAAGGAGCUUCUUAUUGGCUUGAGCUCACAGACACACAGACCUAUGUAAUGUGUUCACGCACAUGCACA